Molecule: ribosomal RNA, 723 nt
Filed under: Methanosphaera sp.
Lineage: Archaea; Methanobacteriati; Methanobacteriota; Methanobacteria; Methanobacteriales; Methanobacteriaceae
Description: SSU rRNA
Rfam family: Eukaryotic small subunit ribosomal RNA
Source: RNAcentral
AGCGGUGGAAUGCUUUGACCCAUGUGAGAGAAACGAAAGCGAAGGCAUUUAUCUAGAGGGUUUCUGUCGAUCAAGGGCGAGAGUAGGAGUAUCCAACCGGAUUAGAGACCCGGGUAGUUCCUACUAUAAACGAUGCCGACAGGGGCUAGUUAUUUUAUAAUAGCUGGACCUUAGGAGAAAUCAUAGUUCUUGGGCUCUGGGGGAACUACGACCGCAAGGCUGAAACUUGAAGGAAUUGACGGAAGGGCACACCAGGGGUGGAGCCUGUGGCUUAAUUUGAAUCAACACGGGGAAACUUACCAGGACCAGAUGUUUUUUAUGACUGACAGGCUUCGGGUCUUUCAGGAUUGAGCUUUUGGUGGUGCAUGGCCGUUGGUGGUGCGUGGGUUGACCUGUCUAGCGUCGAUUCAGCUAACGAGCGAGAUUAUCGCCAAUUACUUAGAAUUAAUUAGUUUUAAUUAAUUCUUCUAAUUGGGACUCCCUGCGAUUAAGCAGGCGGAAGAGGGUAGCAAUAACAGGUCCGUGAUGUCCUUUAGAUGCUCUGGGCUGCACGCGUGCUACAAUGUUAGUCUCAAUGGGAUGUGAACCCGUCAGGGGGAACUACUCUAUGAAUGUCUAACGUAGUUGGGAUUGAUGAUUGUAAUCAUCAUCAUGAACCAGGAAUCCCUUGUAAAUGUGUGUCAUCAGCGCACGUUGAAUACGUCCCUGCCCUUUGUACACACC